Molecule: long non-coding RNA, 4002 nt
Organism: Gavialis gangeticus (Gharial)
Lineage: Eukaryota; Metazoa; Chordata; Crocodylia; Gavialidae
Exons: 4
Source: RefSeq, a predicted model, not a curated record
ACCGGCCACCUGAGGCCGCAGCCCCGAAUCCCUGAAAACUGGUCCUCUUUGAGGGUCGAUGCACAUCACCCCAGGAAGGACAAGCAGAUGAAAUGGCAGAGGAGCAGCAGUGAACUGACCAGGAGGGAAGAAAGCCAGGCCAACCUAACAGGAGGCAAAGCCCAUCUCGGUCUCUGUUCUUGCAGGCCUCGGAAGAACCGGAAGGAGAAGCAGAUGGGGAAGCAGCAGGGAAGAGGCGAGGUAGGAGAAAAGCCAGUCAGAGAAAUGGGAUGUGAAGGAAAGGGACUCUGGACAGAGUGGCCUCCCUGCCUUUAGGUCUCAAUCAUGUCUUAGCCAAAUUUCGGCUUUGUGAGCCCUUGGGCGAGCUCCCUGUAACUCAGAAAUGAGUCUCUGCCCUUGAUGCUGUUGCACUUAUGCAGCAGUCAGGUGGAAGGUGGACAACCCUGUAAUCAAGGUGUAUGUCACCACCACCAUGUUUGUAAAAGCUGUGGAUCUGCUUAGUGGUCUUGCACAGCACAGCCACCCUGUAAUCGGGGUCCAGGCCAGCUGUCAGACCUGGCUGCCAAUGGCACAGCAACCCAUAAGUGGGGUGCCUGCUGCUUUCUAACACAAGAAAGAGAAUGUCUGUAGCACUGGAUGUCCUGUAAUUGGGAGUCAAAGUCCACUGCUAUUCCCAGCCAGUCAGAGAGGUGCCCCUGUAAGCAGGGUGGACGUAGCCUCCUUCCGCUGGCCGUAGAGAGCCCAAGCAGUCUGCAGUGUUGUGCUGCAGGAUGGCCUUGCAGACCAGAGCCGAGUCUUGUGGGAUGACAGCCAACUCUUUAAAACCAGAAGCAUGAUGAACUUCCUGUGGUCUGGGUUGAAGUCUAGCCUCCUUUCUGAUCCCUGUGUCCAGGCACCUGUCCUUUUUCAUGCAUCUGUGUCUGAUACUCUACGUCUGAACCCCUGGGCCGCCCUGUAACAAGGGUGCGAGUCCCGUGCUCCUGGUGGAGGGCUAAAUAGCACAGAGCAGUGGACCACCCUGUAAGCAGGGCCCAGGUCUCUAUGUGCCUUUGGGAACAGCUCUGUCCUUUGCCUGGCCUGAUGCCCUCCCUGUAAGCAGGGCUCUGGGCCCUUCCCUUUUGCCCCUCAUGGGCAGUCUGACUAGCCAGAUGGGCCAUGCCCUGUAACGAGGGUUUGGGUCCUGUGCUUCCUGUUGCACAGCUAGGUUCUGCAGAGCUGUGGAUGGCCCUGUAAGCAGGGUUCUAGUCAUAAUGUACCUUUAGGGACAGCUCUGUCCUUUCCCUGGUCUGACAGCCCUUCCUGUAAGCAGGGCUCUUGGUCUUUGCCUUUUGCCUGCCCCCCCCCCCGGGAAGUGUGACUAGUCAGACAGACCGUGCCCUGUAACAAGGGUGCGAGUCCCAUGUCUCUUGAUGGAGAGCUAGAUUCUCCAGAGCUGUGGACCACCCUGUAAGCAGGGUCCAAGUCACAAUGUACCUUUGAAGACAGCUCUGUCUUUUGCCAGGCCUGUUGGCACUCCCUGUAAGCAGGGCUCUGGGCCUUUCCCUUUUGCCCCUCUUGGGCAGUGUGGCUAGUCACAUGGACCAUGCCCUGUAACAAGGGUUCAGGUCCUGUGCGCCCUGUUGCACAGCUAGGUUCUGCGGAGCUGUGGACUGCCCUGUAAGCAGGGUUCAGGUCACAAUGUGCCUUUAGGGACAGCUCCAUCCUUUGCCAGGCCUGAUGGCCCUCCCUGUAAGCAGGGCUCUGGGCCUCCCUUUUGCCCCCCAUGGGCAGUCUGACUAGCCAGACGGGCCAUGCCCUGUAACGAGGGCACUGGUCUCAGCCUUCUUGCCCCCUGGGAGCGGAGGAGGAUUUUCAGUGUAAGGCUCGAGUUUGAGCAGUUUGCAGCAUCGAGCUCCUUUCUGGCCUGGGAACACUUUUUCCCUUGUCAGUGUGUGGAGAGCGAGAGAGAGGAGCGCCUGGGAGCAAAAGCGUUUGUUAUUUUCUUUUUGUUGUUAAAAUCACUGCAGCGUACUUUAUUUUCUUCCCAAUGCUGGGAAAGGGGCAAGAUGUGUCCUCGAAGCCUUCUCCUCCCACCUCCAUACCUAGGGGGAUGAAUUUCCAGGCCUUUUGGCCUCGGGGAAUGUUAGGCUCACUCUGUAAUAUUUUUGGGCACAUGGCCUCCCUGUAUGUCAGGGUACAGGCUUUAGGCCCCCUCUUUUUGGGUUCCUUUGGGCACUUGGUAGCUUGAUUGCAGAGUUUCUGCCCUCUUUGAGAGAAGGCCACAUAUUCCCCACCUGAGUCCCUGGGGAUGAGUGCCCUGGCACUUGGCCAGCCUUUCGUCUGCGCCCCCAUCCCUGGCCUACAGCCUGAAAGCAGGAUCCACGUCCCCUUGAUUCGGGUCGGGUUGGGUCUCAUUCCACUUGGUGAGGUUGGCCAGAGAUGAUACCUACAGAUUACAGGGAAGGUUGCAGGCUUCUGGAGGAUACUGAGUGCAUUCGGACCCCUGAGGCUUCGUGACCUUCCAGUAACUCAGGUCCAGGUCUCUUCUCCUCUGUUUUGCUGCUCCUGGCACCAUUGAGAUAGUCUCCCCUCCUACCCUGUAAACAGGGUUGUGCCCCACCCCAUCUGACCUUGGGGGAGGAGGCCUCAUUUAGCCCUUUGGGCUCUGUGGCAGCCAUGAUGGGAGGCUGAAGUCAUGGCCCUUGUGUCCCCGGACACGGGGCUGCUUUGAGCCCUGAUGGAGAUUGCCUGAGGCACCCAUCAGCUGGCAUUUAGGGCUUUACAGGUUUUCUCUCUGGGCUUCAUGCCCCAGCAGCCAGCUGUGUGCAGGGAGCACCACCCUAUAAACAAGAUUGCUGAUGUUUGUGGUCACCUUCAUGGUGCUGCCCUAGCACUUCUGUCCAGAGUCCUGGCCCCUUGCACUCUGCUUCUGGCUGGCCCAGAUGUCGGCAGCUGAGACCACAGACGUCUGCCCUCCCCUGUUUCCGCAGACAGAGGACAGUGGCUGCAGGUCCAGAGGAAGAAGCAGAGAAGACAACAGACAAAUGGGAGUUAACCGAUAACCAGGGCAGAAAACCGUGCCAGCCCACCAGGAGACAAAGGUCCCUGAAGGGCAGCUGGAGAAGAAGGAACAGAAGCAGGACAAGAAAGCUCAGAAACAACAGGUGUGGGUUGGGGUAGACAGGAGGAAGAGAGGCACAUGUUUAAUGUAUGCUUAGAUAAGUACAGAUGGAGACUUUUGUGUGCGUCUCUACACUUUCAAAUACUCAUUAGGAGCAAGCAGCUGCACGCUUCAAGUUGCACUGUGCAUUGUCUUGGGUUGGUCCUGAUUGUAGGCAAUGAGGUUGAGGCAUUGUGCUAGCUGUGCAUAUUGAUGUGUGGUAGUCUAGGUUUUUGCAGGUUGUUUGGCUUUGCUAGUUGAGUAGUUGAUCAAAAUAGAUGUGAUUGAAGGUAGCGUGUAGGGUUUUCUGGGUUUGGUUGCUGAGCAGUUCUUGGUGUUAGUGUAGAAAUGCAGGUCUGUGCUCAGUUGUUAGUGGCUUGAGUGUAGCAUGCUUUGGCUGUAGGUUGUGGGGCCAAUUUGAGGCUGUUUGUGUUGUGAUUUCUUUGCAUCUGUAAGUUAAGACUCCAUGGAUGUUUGAAAGGGUUAAUCUCCAUCUCCACGGAGACAAAGAUCUCCUGUGUCCAAAUGAUCCUAAAGGUAGUUGGUGUGCUCAACAUCAAACCGGAUGUGCAUAGCUGAACAAUAAACGGUAUAAAAAACUUUUCACCUUGUGGCUGGUGCUCUCCUACAUUGAGAAGACUUGGUCAUUAUCCUUUCCUGUUGAGAGCUGCCUGGAGGAAUAAACCUUCAUUCUGUCUACUGAUCUGUGUUCUUACUUGUUGAAUGCAAAUAUUUCCUGUUCUGAUUUACAAAUGGUAAAAUAAUGGAAUAGGUGAUGCCUAGUCACCAAUUUACAACUGUUAAUGCACUGUAGGAAAUCAGUCCUGAUUUAUUUGAGGAAAUAAAAAAUAAGGUACAGUGAA